AAGCUUUCAAUCGGGGCCCCCAUUGCUUAUAUUAGGCGGUGCCGGAUUCGUCCGGCUAUGGCGAUAAAUGGACGUCGCAAUAAGCCCAUCGGACCCGGGGGCAGUACCCGGCGCCUCCACCACAGGUGUCGGUGGACGCAGACCAGGAUGGACAAGAUCCGGUCCGCGCACCCGACGCCUGCGGCGGGGGCGAAAUAGGAUCGACGAGGGUGUAAAGGGCGCUCUUUCGCUCGGCAUGAUACCGCCGUUAUCGGGUCAAUCAGAUAGUUGCCAACGACAACUAUGCUGAGGCGGCUCUCGCUGCGUAACGCGGCGCGAUACGCCUGAACUCAAGCCCUGGCGUCUAGCCACGUCAGGCGCGGUCUCGGAGGGCACCGGGCAACAGAAGCCCUCCACU
This 397-nucleotide transfer-messenger RNA is filed under the name Hyphomicrobiales bacterium. RNAcentral describes it as "Rhizobiales bacterium (sediment metagenome) transfer-messenger RNA". It matches the Rfam family "Alphaproteobacteria transfer-messenger RNA". From Rfam's summary of the family: Bacterial tmRNA, also known as 10Sa RNA or SsrA, is named for its dual tRNA and mRNA-like properties. Its role is to liberate the mRNA from a stalled ribosome. The record is from RNAcentral. Lineage: Bacteria; Pseudomonadati; Pseudomonadota; Alphaproteobacteria; Hyphomicrobiales.